CCUGGUGGCUCAAAGGUUAAAGUGUCUGCCUGGAAUGCGGGAGACCCGGGUUCAAUCCCUGGGUCAGGA
This 69-nucleotide transfer RNA is filed under the name Bos taurus (domestic cattle). It matches the Rfam family "tRNA". Rfam says of the family: Transfer RNA (tRNA) molecules are approximately 80 nucleotides in length. Their secondary structure includes four short double-helical elements and three loops (D, anti-codon, and T loops). RNAcentral also lists the same sequence under 1 other name. The record is from Rfam by way of RNAcentral. Lineage: Eukaryota; Metazoa; Chordata; Mammalia; Artiodactyla; Bovidae.